AGCCAGCCGUUGCUGGAUGGCGCGCUGGUCGUCACUGAGCUGGACCUGUGCGUCCAGAGGAACGCCAUCGAGCACCGCACGCAGCGCUUCGAGCGCGGCAUCACCGGGCCGGCUCUGGUCGUGCGUCGCGGCCAGGCCUUCGAGAUCUACAUUCGCUUCAACAGGAAAUACACAGAGGAUCGGGACAACAUCUCACUCAUCUUCAGCGUCGAUGGCGUGGAGGUGCCGUCGCUUGGCCACGGGACGCUGGAGGCCAUUCCGGUGACCCGCGAGGAGCCCACCUCCUCGGACGCCUGGCGCGUGCAGAUCGUGCAGAACGAGGGCGACAAGAUCACGCUCAGUGUGACACCAUCAGCCAAAUGCAA
This is a long non-coding RNA of Pollicipes pollicipes, 365 nucleotides long. RefSeq lists it as uncharacterized. The record is from RefSeq and is a predicted model, not a curated record. The transcript has 3 exons. Lineage: Eukaryota; Metazoa; Arthropoda; Thecostraca; Pollicipedomorpha; Pollicipedidae.